GCCGGUGUAGCUCAGUCGGUAGAGCAACACAUUCGUAAUGUGUGGGUCGGCGGUUCGAUUCCGCCCACCGGCUCCA
Molecule: transfer RNA, 76 nt
Filed under: Methylobacter sp.
Lineage: Bacteria; Pseudomonadati; Pseudomonadota; Gammaproteobacteria; Methylococcales; Methylococcaceae
Also listed under: 1 other name
Description: tRNA-Thr
Rfam family: tRNA
About the family: Transfer RNA (tRNA) molecules are approximately 80 nucleotides in length. Their secondary structure includes four short double-helical elements and three loops (D, anti-codon, and T loops).
Source: RNAcentral